This 66-nucleotide transfer RNA is filed under the name Agnesiella aldera. Its description in RNAcentral is "tRNA-Tyr". The record is from RNAcentral. Lineage: Eukaryota; Metazoa; Arthropoda; Insecta; Hemiptera; Cicadellidae.
GUUGAUGUGGCUGAAUUUAAGGUGGUARACUGUAAAUUUACUUAUGGAUGYUAUUUCCUUUCAAUA